UCCACUCUCACAGGACCUACACUGUUGC
This 28-nucleotide non-coding RNA is filed under the name Rattus norvegicus (Norway rat). Lineage: Eukaryota; Metazoa; Chordata; Mammalia; Rodentia; Muridae. The record is from RNAcentral.